UGCGGGGUAGAGCAGUCUGGUAGCUCGACAGGCUCAUAACCUGUAGGCCGUUGGUUCAAAUCCUUCCCCCGCAA
RNAcentral lists this transfer RNA (74 nucleotides) under Ehrlichia japonica. RNAcentral describes it as "tRNA-fMet (CAT) (tRNA-fMet-CAT-1-1)". It matches the Rfam family "tRNA". Rfam says of the family: Transfer RNA (tRNA) molecules are approximately 80 nucleotides in length. Their secondary structure includes four short double-helical elements and three loops (D, anti-codon, and T loops). Further hydrogen bonds mediate the characteristic L-shaped molecular structure. tRNAs have two regions of fundamental functional importance: the anti-codon, which is responsible for specific mRNA codon recognition, and the 3' end, to which the tRNAs corresponding amino acid is attached (by aminoacyl-tRNA synthetases). tRNAs cope with the degeneracy of the genetic code in two manners: having more than one tRNA (with a specific anti-codon) for a particular amino acid; and 'wobble' base-pairing, i.e. permitting non-standard base-pairing at the 3rd anti-codon position. Lineage: Bacteria; Pseudomonadati; Pseudomonadota; Alphaproteobacteria; Rickettsiales; Anaplasmataceae. The record is from RNAcentral.